Molecule: ribosomal RNA, 433 nt
Filed under: uncultured bacterium
Lineage: Bacteria
Description: partial 16S ribosomal RNA
Rfam family: Bacterial small subunit ribosomal RNA
Source: RNAcentral
AACGAACGCUGGCGGCAUGCCUAACACAUGCAAGUCGAACGAGAACUCCGGGUUUAGUGGCGUACGGGUGCGUACCGGGGGGGAACAUGCCCUUAGGUUCGGAAUAACUUCCCGAAAGGGGCGGUAAUACCGGAUAAUGUCUUCGGACCAAAGCUUUAUCGACUUUGGAUGGGCCCGCGUUGGAUUGGCUAUUUGGUAUGGUAAAAGCAUACCAAGGCGAGGAUCCGUAGCUGGUCUGAGAGGAUGAGCAGUCACACUGGGACUGGGACACGGCCCAGACGCGUGCGGGAGGCAGCAGAGGGUGAUAUAGGAGAGGGGGCGAGAGGCUGAUCCGGCAAGGCCGCGUGAGUGAUGAAGGCCUUAGAGUUGUAAAGCUGUUUUACCCAAGAUUGUAAUGACGGUACCGGGAGAAUAAGCUCCGGCUAACUCCGUG